Molecule: ribosomal RNA, 492 nt
Filed under: uncultured bacterium
Lineage: Bacteria
Description: partial 16S ribosomal RNA
Rfam family: Bacterial small subunit ribosomal RNA
Source: RNAcentral
AGUGAACGCUGGCGGUAGGCCUAACACAUGCAAGUCGAACGGCAGCACAGUAAGAGCUUGCUCUUACGGGUGGCGAGUGGCGGACGGGUGAGGAAUACAUCGGAAUCUACUUUUUCGUGGGGGAUAACGUAGGGAAACUUACGCUAAUACCGCAUACGACCUACGGGUGAAAGCAGUGGAUCUUCGGACCUUGCGCGAUUGAAUGAGCCGAUGUCGGUUUAGCUAGUUGGCGGGGUAAAGGCCCACCAAGGCGACGAUCCGUAGCUGGUCUGAGAGGAUGAUCAGCCACACUGGAACUGAGACACGGUCCAGACUCCUACGGGAGGCAGCAGUGGCGAAUAUUGGACAAUGGGCGCAAGCCUGAUCCAGCCAUACCGCGUGGGUGAAGAAGGCCUUCGGGUUGUAAAGCCCUUUUGUUGGGAAAGAAAAGCAGCAGGUUAAUACCACGCUGUUCUGACGGUACCCAAAGAAUAAGCACCGGCUAACUUCGUG